GGGCCCUUAGCUCAGCUGGGAGAGCGCCUGCUUUGCAAGCAGGAGGUCGCCGGUUCGAUCCCGGCAGGGUCCA
Molecule: transfer RNA, 73 nt
Filed under: Elusimicrobiota bacterium
Lineage: Bacteria; Pseudomonadati; Elusimicrobiota
Description: tRNA-Ala
Rfam family: tRNA
About the family: Transfer RNA (tRNA) molecules are approximately 80 nucleotides in length.
Source: RNAcentral